RNA transcript from Ceratosolen solmsi marchali, 2134 nucleotides. It is a transcript of the gene named pre-mRNA processing factor 31, with no coding region annotated. Lineage: Eukaryota; Metazoa; Arthropoda; Insecta; Hymenoptera; Agaonidae. The transcript has 10 exons. The record is from RefSeq and is a predicted model, not a curated record.
UUUUGAAUUCGUUUAAUUCGCAUAAUUGUCAUUGUAUUGAAUAUUCUGCAGAUAAGCCAGUUGCUUCGACGAGGUUGAGCCCAAUUUUGUUUAAUAUUGGCCAAUAAUAAUGUCUUUGGCUGAUGAACUUUUGGCUGAUCUCGAAGAUGACACGGACGAUGUAUUCGAAGAGCCGGUGCCGGAACAACUUAUUCCCACAUCCUUGUCCUCUAAAAUUACGGAAAAAGAUAUUAAAGUUGAUUCCGUUCGAGAACUUGCCAAAUUACGAGAUUCACCGCUUAUGCAAAAGGUUACAUCCCAAAUUGAUAAGUACAGCAAAGUUCUUAGAAAAUCUUCGGAUAUUAUUGGACCAGUUGAGUCAGAUCCUGAAUAUCAACUAAUUGUGGAAGCUAAUAAUUUAGCUGUCGAAAUAGAUACUGAAAUUGCCACUAUACAUCGAUUUACAACAAGUAAAUAUUCAAAAAGAUUUCCAGAACUGGAAUCUCUAGUAGUCGAACAUUUAGAAUAUUUAAUGACCGUUAAAGAAUUAGGAAAUGAUUUAGACAGAGCCAAAAAUAAUGAAAUUUUACAGCAGUUUCUUACACAAGCAACGAUUAUGGUUGUAUCUGUAACUGCUUCAACGACUCAAGGGCAACUAUUAUCAGAAGCUGAAAAAGAGGCGAUCGACGAAGCUUGCGACAUGGCUAUCGAGUUGAACAAUUUGAAGCAAAGAAUAUUUGAAUACGUCGAGAGUAGAAUGGCAUUUAUUGCACCAAACUUAUCUGCAAUUGUCGGUGCUUCUACCGCAGCAAAACUUAUGGGUGUCGCUGGAGGUUUAACGAAGCUAUCAAAAAUGCCAGCAUGUAAUAUUUUACUCUUGGGCACGAGGAAAACUACGCUCUCUGGAUUUUCCCAAGUAACUGCGCUACCUCAUACAGGAUUUAUUUAUUAUUCAAAAAUUGUACAAGAUACACCACAAGAUUUAAGAAGGAAAGCGUCUAGACUCGUUGCUGCAAAAAGCACAUUAGCAGCUCGAGUCGACGCUUGCCAUAAUAGCACAGAUGGUCAUAUAGGUCAACAGUUACGCGAAGAGAUAGAAAAAAAAUUAGAUAAAUUGCUGGAACCUCCGCCUGUUAAAUUUGUAAAACCAUUGCCAAAGCCAAUCGAUCCUGGUAGGAAGAAGCGUGGUGGUAAAAGAGUUCGAAAAAUGAAGGAACGCUAUGCCAUAACUGAAUUCAGAAAACAAGCCAACAGAAUGAAUUUUGCUGAUAUUGAAAGCGAUGCUUAUCAAGAAGAUCUGGGCUAUACUCGUGGAACAAUAGGUAAAGCAGGAACUGGAAGAAUUAGAUUGCCACAGAUCGAUGAGAAAACCAAAGUAAGAAUUUCAAAAACACUGCAGAAAAAUUUACAAAAACAGCAACACUGGGGUGGUAGUACGACAGUUAAGAAGCAAGUUUCCGGUACAGCAUCCAGUAUAGCCUUCACACCACUUCAGGGCUUGGAAAUAGUGAAUCCUCAAGCGGCAGAAAAGAAGGUUAACGAAGCUAAUGCAAAAUACUUUUCAAAUACAGCAGGUUUCUUAAAAGUUAAGAAAGCAUAACUCUUGCAGGGAAGGACUUUUUAUUUCUCAUCUCGUUUAUAUUUCGUCUUAGAUCGAUCUUAUUGGACUUAACGAAAUUAUUAAAUGGAGUAUUAUAUGAUUUACACAACACUGACCUUUGCGGAUAAAAGACUGAAGAUAAAGAAAACAUUUUUCCGCGAUUUAGUCAAUUUAACUACGAGGAUAAAGCUUUCUGUCCAACGUAUUAUAUGAUAUUAUUACCAUUCUAAAUGAAAUCAACUGAGUGAUUAGUAAUUAGUCGAUUAAAUUGUAAAUGCCAUUCAUUAAUUGAUUUGAUUUUGAGCGAUGCAAUUUAGCGAGAUAUUAGUGUAAAUAAUUUACGAUUAAGAAAAUAAUUAGUAGUAUUAGCCAGAUUGGAUAGCAAUUGGAAGCAAUUUAUGGUCCAAGUUGUUGCAUAUACUCUCGCAAAGCUUGCAAUUUUCAUUUCUUGCUCUUAUCCUAUAUAAGAUGCUUUUCCAACAGCUAUUGGAAUCUCCAUUAAUUGAAUUUAAUUGUCUCAAGAAGUUUCGACAACGAUCAUUUUGUCUGAUUUCU